GAUGAACGCGGCGGCGUGCUUAACACAUGCAAGUCGAGCGAAGCACUUGCUUAGAUUCUUCGGAUGAAGAGGAUUGUGACUGAGCGGCGGACGGGUGAGUAACGCGUGGGUAACCUGCCUCAUACAGGGGGAUAACAGUUAGACAUGACUGCUAAUACCGCAUAAGACCACAGCACCGCAUGGUGCGGGGGUAAAAACUCCGGUGGUAUGAGAUGGACCCGCGUCUGAUUAGCUAGUUGGUAAGGUAACGGCUUACCAAGGCGACGAUCAGUAGCCGACCUGAGAGGGUGACCGGCCACAUUGGGACUGAGACACGGCCCAAACUCCUACGGGAGGUAGCAGUGGGGAAUAUUGCACAAUGGGGGAAACCCUGAUGCAGCGACGCCGCGUGAGCGAAGAAGUAUUUCGGUAUGUAAAGCUCUAUCAGCAGGGAAGAAAAUGACGGUACCUGACUAAGAAGCACCGGCUAAAUACGUGCCAGCAGCCGCGGUAAUACGUAUGGUGCAAGCGUUAUCCGGAUUUACUGGGUGUAAAGGGAGCGUAGACGGAUGGGCAAGUCUGAUGUGAAAACCCGGGGCUCAACCCCGGGACUGCAUUGGAAACUGUUCAUCUAGAGUGCUGGAGAGGUAAGUGGAAUUCCUAGUGUAGCGGUGAAAUGCGUAGAUAUUAGGAGGAACACCAGUGGCGAAGGCGGCUUACUGGACAGUAACUGACGUUGAGGCUCGAAAGCGUGGGGAGCAAACAGG
This 746-nucleotide ribosomal RNA is filed under the name uncultured Ruminococcus sp. Its description in RNAcentral is "bacterial SSU rRNA". It matches the Rfam family "Bacterial small subunit ribosomal RNA", at positions 28 to 776 of the family's 1533-position model. The record is from RNAcentral. Lineage: Bacteria; Bacillati; Bacillota; Clostridia; Eubacteriales; Oscillospiraceae.